AUUUAAAUAGCUUAAAAAGAAGAGUGUGAUAUUGAAGAUGUCAAGGUGAAUUUUAUUCUUUAAAUA
This 66-nucleotide transfer RNA is filed under the name Orancistrocerus aterrimus. RNAcentral's name for it is "tRNA-Phe". Lineage: Eukaryota; Metazoa; Arthropoda; Insecta; Hymenoptera; Vespidae. The record is from RNAcentral.